CGUUCUAUGGCCGACUGGUUAAGGCAUCACCGAUUACAGGAGAAGAUGCGGGUUCGAGUCCCGCUGGAACGG
This 72-nucleotide transfer RNA is filed under the name Operophtera brumata (winter moth). It matches the Rfam family "tRNA". From Rfam's summary of the family: Transfer RNA (tRNA) molecules are approximately 80 nucleotides in length. Their secondary structure includes four short double-helical elements and three loops (D, anti-codon, and T loops). Lineage: Eukaryota; Metazoa; Arthropoda; Insecta; Lepidoptera; Geometridae. The record is from Rfam by way of RNAcentral.